This 281-nucleotide ribosomal RNA is filed under the name uncultured bacterium. RNAcentral describes it as "partial 16S ribosomal RNA". It matches the Rfam family "Bacterial small subunit ribosomal RNA", at positions 506 to 784 of the family's 1533-position model. The record is from RNAcentral.
UGCCAGCCGCCGCGGUAAUACGAAGGGGGCAAGCGUUGUUCGGAUUUACUGGGCGUAAAGGGCGCUCGUAGGUGGCUUUGUAAGUCAGAUGUGAAAGCCCACGGCUCAACCGUGGAAUUGCAUUUGAUACUGCAUCGCUAGAGUAUAGGAGAGGGAAGUGGAAUUUCUGGUGUAGGAGUGAAAUCCGUAGAGAUCAGAAGGAACACCGGUGGCGAAGGCGACUCCCUGGACUAUUACUGACACUGAGGAGCGAAAGCGUGGGGAGCAAACAGGAUUAGAUA